RNAcentral lists this long non-coding RNA (599 nucleotides) under Olea europaea subsp. europaea. The record is from RNAcentral. Lineage: Eukaryota; Viridiplantae; Streptophyta; Magnoliopsida; Lamiales; Oleaceae.
UUAAAUGGAGGGACCGUGCCAAUCUUCUUGUACCAAAAAGGGCUCACAGAUUCUGAUACCAAGUUCGAUCAAAAUUGGAUUUUUCUUUCUCACAAUAGAGAAAAAUUAAUGGAAUUCUUGACACAAGCGGAGCGACAAUUAGUAGAAGUUAACCAAGGCAAUUUCAAGAUUGUAACAAUUGAUUCGAAAGGUAAAUACUAUAUGUUGCAUAUGAGGAGGUGGGGUACUCUAAAAAUGGUUGUGCUUAAAAAAGAUUGGAGUAAAUUGGUGAAAACAAACAAUUUGGAAGAAGGAGAUUGGAUUCAACUGUGGGGAUAUCGCCAAAAUUCCCAAUUUCAUUUGGCUUUCAAUAUAAAAAAGCGGCAAAAAAGGUCACACAUGGUGAUGAUGCAAGCAUUAGCAAUGUUGAUGGCAAUGGCUGUAGCAGUAGUGGUGGUGCAAGGGGUAGUAGCCGCGGUUUUAGCUCAAGUAUCGUCUCCGAGGAAUAGAAGAUAAUAUGCAUGAGUGAUAGACUCGAAAUUUUACUAUUUUGGGCAUGAUCUAGUACUGAUUAUAUUUGAACUAGAUGGGUUUAGACAUGUUUUUAGUAUUGAGUCCUG